AUGCUGCCAAACCUAAGGAAUCUCGAAUUUUUAGAGCUUAUGAAGGAAAAGAAAUUACAUGCAGUGAUAACAGCUUCAGUCAACUGGAGAUCCUUCAUCUUGAUUGUCUUGAGAACUUGGAAAGAUGGCAUUUAGCCACAAGUGCCAUGCCUCUGAUUAAAGGUCUUGGUAUCCAUCGUUGUCCAAAGCUAAAAGAGAUUCCUGAGAGAAUGAAAGACGUGGAGAGAACUCCUUUUCGAUGAAGCUUUUCAAGGAUAUAUUGAUGUCCUAUUUCGGCCUCUUCAUAAUCAUAGAGGUAAUAAAUCUCAAUCCCCAAUGAUUAUUUCUUCAAUUCCUUUUACUCACUCUGCUGCAAAUGACGGUCCUAAACAUUAUAAGUAAACAGGUAGUUGAUAUAUCUUUUGUAUUUUACAGGAGAAGAAGCUGUCAAUGGAAAAAUGAUUUUGUGAAGGUUUAGUUAAUUGUUCUACUGUAUGUUCUCUUGCUUAUCAACAUUUAAGAUGAUGGUUUAUAUGUUAAGUGAUAUUUAAAAUAGUAUAUGAUACUCUCUUGUCCACAAUUUAGUGUUUUUUGUUCCUCCUUCAAUAGCAAAGCAGUUCAUUUAUCUAACUAGCUUUGGUAUCUUAAGUUUUUGGUUUUUGGUUUCAGACAGAUUCAACAAGCUAUAAAAGACACUACUUUUACUGCAAAAUUAGAGAUGCAACGCUGACGCCAACGCAUACCAAAAUAAUCAAAUCCUUAGAAGUCUAGUUUACUCACUCAAAUUUAAGGACAUGCCUUUUUCGCCUAACGUAAUCUAACCUUAAAAGGAAAUAAUGUACCUUUCCCUUAGCUUUCUUAUUUGUUAUUGUCUAUGAACUUAACAAGAAAGUAAUUUUCCAUGGAGAGAGAAAAAAUCUAUAACAAUAUCAAAGUGUAUAAAGAAUUUGAUUUGGUAAGAUAUAACAAGAAAAUAUUUCUAUUAAAAGGAAAAAUAAAAAAGAAGAGUUAAGAUAUAAUGAAUAUUUUCAGUUAAAUAUUUACAUUCAUCAUCAAUUCUAUAACUUAAAUUCAAUACAAAAUUGUGGAUGUAAUUAUCACCAUACCCAAACAAAUUUAUUAGGUGGACAAUUAAAUUGGACAACACAUCAUUAUUACUGAUAGACUUUUCUCCAUAUAUACUUUCAUUACUCUAAUUUUUUCAAAUGGGAACACUUUGAUUUUCUCUUGCCCAGUCAAGUGGGUCACAUUUCACUUUCAUUGCUUUAAUUUUUCUUGUUCAUUUUCCACAUUCGUGUUUGACAUAUUUGGCAAUCAUAAAUCUUUUUAUUAGGUGGACCAUUGUACAACAUAUAAUUAUUUACUUUUAGACUUUUCUACAUACAUAUAUUUUCCCGCAUGUUGUGUAAUGGUUAUUAAAGAAGCUUUAAUACAUAUUUCAUCCUUAACUUGGCUUCAGCGGACAACUAUGCUCUCCAACUUUGAGUGUGCACAAGUAGACACUUAAACUUAUAUGAAAUUGAACAAGUAGACACAUGUGUCCUACGUGGCAUAAUACAUGUAGGAUGCCACGUAGUACACAAAUUUGUCAUGUAGGACGAAUAUGUCUAUUUGUUCAAUUUUAUACAAUUUUAAGUGUCUACUUGUGCACACCCAAAGUUAAAUGUCAUAGUUGUCAGUUGAAGCCAAGUUAAGGGUCAUGUUUAUGUAUUAUGUCUUUUGUUUUUACUCAACUUUAAUCACUAUUAAUGUCAACUGUUUCUGAGUGUAUAUCACUAUCUCUCAUUUUUUGACUUGUAUUCCAAUAUACAGACCCAACUUUUCCAGAUAAAAAUCAAUACUCCUGAGUCCUGAAGAUGGCUGAUGCCUUUGUGACAUUUGCAGUUAAAAAAUUGGGUGAUUUCCUCAUUCAGGAAGUUUCCCUGCUUACAAAUCUGAGAGAUGAAGUUAGAUGGCUGAGAAAUGAGCUACUCUUCAUGCAGUCUUUCCUCAGAGAUGCAGAACUAAAGCAAAGUAGAGAUCAAAGAGUUCAGCAAUGGGUGUUUGAGAUCAACUCUAUUGCAAAUGACGCUGUCGCUAUCCUAGAGACUUACAGCUUCAAGGCUGGUAAAGGUGGCGAUGGAUUUGCUAGUUGUCUCAAGGCUUGCGCUUGCAUCUGUAAGGAGGAGACCAAAUUCUACAAAGUCUCCAAGGAGAUCCAAUCACUCAAGCAACGAAUUAUGGAUAUCUCUCGCAAGCGAGAGACUUAUGGUAUUACAAAUAUCAAUAAUAAUGCAGGAGAUGGACCAAGUAAUCGGCCAAACAAUCAGUCUGCCAUUGUUACAACAUUGAGGAGAACUACCUCCUAUGUGGAUGGUCAGGAUCACAUUUUUGUUGGAUAUCAGGAUGUUGUAGAAAGAUUGCUAUCUGAACUUCUCAAAGCAGAGCCUUGUCGAAGCGUCAUCUCCAUUUAUGGCAUGGGUGGUUUAGGCAAGACCACUCUUGCAAGAAAUCUGUACAUCAGUCCUGAUAUAGUCAAUAGCUUCCAUACACGAGCUUGGAUAUGUGUUUCUCAAGAGUACAACACCGUGGAUCUCCUCAGGUAUAUCAUAAAAUCCAUCCAAGGUUGCACCAAGGAAACUCUAGAUUUGUUGGAAAGGAUGACAGAAAGAGAUCUAGAAAUUUACCUUCGUGAUCUUUUAAAAAAACGCAAAUACCUUGUGGUGGUUGAUGAUCUAUGGCAGAGAGAAGCAUGGGAGAGUUUGAAAAGAGCAUUCCCGGAUAGCAAGAAUGGCAGCAGAGUUAUUAUCACCACGCGCAAAGAGGAUGUUGCUGAAAGAGCAGACAGCAGAGGUUUUGUCCAUAAACUUCGUUUCCUAAGCCAAGAAGAAAGUUGGGAUCUCUUUUGUAGGAAACUACUUGAUGUUCAAGCAAUGACCUCCACAAUGGAGAGGCUAGCUAAGGAUAUGGUGGACAAGUGUGGAGGCUUACCUCUUGCAAUUGUUGUAUUGAGUGGACUACUUUCGCAUAAAAGGGGGCUAGGCGAAUGGCAAAAGGUGAAAGACCGCCUUUGGAAGAACAUUGAAGAUGACUCUAUUGAAAUCUUCUACGUACUAUCAUUAAGCUACAAUGAUUUGUCAACUGCGCUCAAGCAGUGUUUUCUGUACUUUGGUAUUUUUCCAGAAGAUCAAGUGCUCGAGGCUGAAACCAUAAUACGAUUGUGGAUGGCCGAGGGUUUCAUACCAAGAGGAGAAGAAAGAAUGGAGGAUGUCGCUGAAGGCUUCUUGAAUGAGCUAAUAAGACGAAGCUUGGUUCAAGUGGCUCGAACAUUUUGGGAAAAAGUUACUGAAUGUAAGGUUCAUGAUUUACUUCGUGAUCUUGCCAUACAAAAGGCAUUGGAGGUAAACUUCUUUGACAUUUAUGAUCCAAGAAACCACUCCAUAUCCUCCUUAUGUAUCAGACAUGCCAUUCAUGAUAAAGGAGAAAAGUACCUCUCACUUGAUCUUUCUAACUUAAAGUUGAGGUCAAUUAUGUUCUUCGAUCCAGAUUUUCGGAACAUGAAUCUUAUAAACUUCAGUAGUGUGUUCCAACAUAUAUAUGUGUUGUACUUGGAUACUCUUGGUGGCACUGUACCUUAUGCCAUAGGAAGUUUGUACCGCCUCAAGUUCUUAAGCUUGAGAGGUAUUGGUAAUCUUCCCUCCUCCAUUGGCAACCUCAAGAAUUUACAGACACUUUGUGUCAAAAGUGAAUUUAGACAUUUGUGCCAACUACCCCCUGAGACAGCUGACCUAAUAAAUCUAAGGCAUUUAGUUGCUCCGUAUUCUGAACCUCUGGUACGUAUAAGCAAACUCACUAGUCUUCAAAUUCUUAAAGACAUCUCUUGUGAUCAGUGGAAAGAUGUUGACCCUGUUGAUUUAGUCAAUCUCCUAGAAUUAAGCAUGAUUGAUAUUACCAAAUCUUACUCCCUAAACAACAUUAGCAGAUUGAAAAACCUUAGCACUCUCAAAUUGUUUUGUAGAGGUGGUCAAUCAUUCCCAGACCUUGAAUUUCUUAUUAUUGUGAAAAGCUCCAGAAAUUGUGGUUAGAUGGGAGAAUAGAGAAACUGCCUCUGUUACCAAAUUCCAUCACAAUGAUGGUUCUUUUGGACUCAAAACUCAUGGAAGAUCCGAUGCCUAUUUUGGGAAUGUUGCCAAACCUAAGAAACUCGAAUUUCUUAGAGCUUAUCAAGGAAAGAGAUAUUCUGCAGUGAUAAUAGCUUCCGUCAACUCGAGUUCCUUAGUCUUGCUUGUCUUGAGAACCUAGACACAUGGCAUUUAGCCACAAGUGCCAUGCUUCUGAUUAAAGGUCUUCGUAUUGAUCACUGUAAAAAGCUGAACAAGAUUCCCCAGAGAAUGAAGGACGUGAAGCUUUUCAAGCAUACAUGAAGUCUUAUUUCAUAAAUAGUGUGUUAAUAAUAUUUCGGUUAAACAGGAGAAGAAGCUGUCACUUGAAGACAUUUUUGGUCAGUUGGAGUUUGUUCGUCUUUGUUAAUCUUCGGGACUUGGAGAGUUGGCAUUCAGCUACAAGUGCCAUGCUUGUUAUUAAAGGUUUGGGUAGACAUGAGUGUUUGAAGUUGCAUCAGAUUCCAAAAAGAAUGAAAAGUAUGCUGUGUAUUUGCAUCCAGAUACUGAUUGUGAGCUUUGGAUGGAUUUUUGCACAAAGCAUUAUAGGAUUUGCAUUGUCGCUACCCUGUUUCGAGGCCUAAGUAGACCGUGUAUGGAGGAAGAUGUCAAGUGUCUCGGUUUAUUUGAGAGCAAAGUAGCAAUUGUCUUUACUUUUACGGCUUAAUUAGGACCAAUUGAUCACUUCUUUUGGAAUAUAUUAAAGACUAUUUCCAUUAUGUUUAUACAUUUAGGACUAAAUGAACCAAAGCUCGUUUAUUAAGGAGCAUUUUUAUAAUUUUUCUUCACGAUUGCAUAGCAAAGGAGUUCAUUUAUCUAACUAGCUUUAGUACCUAAUUUUGGGGUUUUCUGAUUCUGUACACACAAGCUCAAAAAUCCGAUGCCUCAUUGUUUCUAUUUUAGACAGAUUCUAUAAAACAAACUAACGAAAGACGCCACUUUUAAUGCAAAAGUAGAGAUGCAAUGCGUACCAAAAUAAUCCAAUUACUGCAUCAUGAAUGACAGAUGAUGCCCUCUUACGUCUACUUAAAUGCAGCCACAUUCAUUCCAUGCUAGUAAAUAAGAUCAACAUUGCAUCAUCAAUGACAGAAACAACACCAAAUACCAUUACUGAGUAACAAAACCGAAAAACAGACGAUGACACAUCAGAUUUUCACAAAAGGCAGUUGACAAAGUACAGAUUUUGGUUCAUAAAUUCAAGUAACAUCAAAUCACAAUGCACGUUAUCUCAAGGCAAUAAAUGUGUCAUUUAACUUGACCUCAUUUCACAUUUAUGACCUUCAACUUUGGAUGUGGUAAACAUUUAAACUUGUAUAAAGUUAAAUAAGUAGACACAUAAUACGCAUAGGACACCACGUAGGACGCAAACUGUCAUGUAGGAUGCCACAUAGGACAUGUGUGUUUAUUUGUUCAACUUAUACAAGUUUAAACGUCUACUUGUCCACACCCAAAGUUAGAGGAAUAAAUAUGAAAUGAGAUCAAAUUAAAGGGCAUAUUUGUGCAUGGAAAAAUCUUUUUGGCCAGAGAAUACAUCUCAACUAUGCUUUUUUCACAGAGAAUACAUCAAUUUCACCACAAUAAUUCGUUGGGCAUAUCAAUUAGACGCCAAAACCCAAUAAAAUACGCCUAAAACGAAAACCCACAAUUUUCAAAAGUUGUGAUAUCACAAUUCUUACCUCAAAUAGUUGUGAAAUGGAGGUUUCUAAGAAGAAAUCUCAUAAUCUCAAUUUUUCUCCACUUCAAUCUUCUCUUCUUCUGGCCCCAAAGUAUUUGGAACCAAUAUGAAAUUUGGGUCAUUGUUA
Molecule: long non-coding RNA, 5920 nt
Filed under: Solanum tuberosum (potato)
Lineage: Eukaryota; Viridiplantae; Streptophyta; Magnoliopsida; Solanales; Solanaceae
Description: long non-coding RNA (STUB_LNC004346)
Source: RNAcentral